This 253-nucleotide ribosomal RNA is filed under the name uncultured bacterium. RNAcentral describes it as "partial 16S ribosomal RNA". It matches the Rfam family "Bacterial small subunit ribosomal RNA", at positions 524 to 776 of the family's 1533-position model. The record is from RNAcentral.
UACAGAGGGUGCGAGCGUUAAUCGGAAUUACUGGGCGUAAAGCGUGCGUAGACGGUUUCGUAAGUCGGGUGUGAAAGCCCCGGGCUCAACCUGGGAAUUGCAUUCGAAACUGCAAGGCUAGGGUACGGAAGAGGGAAGCGGAAUUUCUGGUGUAGCGGUGAAAUGCGUAGAUAUCAGAAGGAACAUCAGUGGCGAAAGCGACUUCCUGGACCAAUACUGACGCUCAGGUGCGAAAGCGUGGGGAGCAAACAGG